UUACUGCUGAAGAAUCCCAAACUAGGACGCAACGGUCGUCCAGUAA
RNAcentral lists this non-coding RNA (46 nucleotides) under Trichobilharzia regenti. The record is from RNAcentral. Lineage: Eukaryota; Metazoa; Platyhelminthes; Trematoda; Strigeidida; Schistosomatidae.